UGGGAAAUAUUGCACAAUGGGCGCAAGCCUGAUGCAGCCAUGCCGCGUGUGUGAAGAAGGCCUUCGGGUUGUAAAGCACUUUCAGCGGGGAGGAAGGCGAUAAGGUUAAUAACCUUGUCGAUUGACGUUACCCGCAGAAGAAGCACCGGCUAACUCCGUGCCAGCAGCCGCGGUAAUACGGAGGGUGCAAGCGUUAAUCGGAAUUACUGGGCGUAAAGCGCACGCAGGCGGUCUGUCAAGUCGGAUGUGAAAUCCCCGGGCUUAACCUGGGAACUGCAUUCGAAACUGGCAGGCUAGAGUCUUGUAGAGGGGGGUAGAAUUCCAGGUGUAGCGGUGAAAUGCGUAGAGAUCUGGAGGAAUACCGGUGGCGAAGGCGGCCCCCUGGACAAAGACUGACGCUCAGGUGCGAAAGCGUGGGGAGCAAACAGG
This 429-nucleotide ribosomal RNA is filed under the name Chloroflexota bacterium. RNAcentral's name for it is "Chloroflexi bacterium partial 16S ribosomal RNA". It matches the Rfam family "Bacterial small subunit ribosomal RNA", at positions 355 to 776 of the family's 1533-position model. The record is from RNAcentral. Lineage: Bacteria; Bacillati; Chloroflexota.